GACGAACGCUGGCGGCGUGCUUAACACAUGCAAGUCGAACGAUGAAGCCGGAGCUUGCUCCGGUGGAUUAGUGGCGAACGGGUGAGUAACACGUGAGCAAUCUGCCCUUGGCUCUGGGAUAACUGCGGGAAACUGUAGCUAAUACCGGAUACGACACCUUGGGGCAUCCCAGGGUGUGGAAAGAAUUUCGGUCAAGGAUGAGCUCGCGGCCUAUCAGCUAGUUGGUGAGGUAAUGGCUCACCAAGGCGACGACGGGUAGCCGGCCUGAGAGGGUAACCGGCCACACUGGAACUGAGACACGGUCCAGACUCCUACGGGAGGCAGCAGUGGGGAAUAUUGCACAAUGGGCGAAAGCCUGAUGCAGCAACGCCGCGUGAGGGAUGAAGGCCUUCGGGUUGUAAACCUCUUUUAGCAGGGAAGAAGCGAAAGUGACGGUACCUGCAGAAAAAGCACCGGCUAACUACGUGCCAGCCGCCGCGGUAA
RNAcentral lists this ribosomal RNA (483 nucleotides) under uncultured bacterium. Its description in RNAcentral is "partial 16S ribosomal RNA". It matches the Rfam family "Bacterial small subunit ribosomal RNA", at positions 28 to 523 of the family's 1533-position model. The record is from RNAcentral.